Molecule: transfer RNA, 84 nt
Filed under: Siphoviridae sp. ctD5s5
Lineage: Duplodnaviria; Heunggongvirae; Uroviricota; Caudoviricetes
Description: tRNA-Tyr
Rfam family: tRNA
About the family: Transfer RNA (tRNA) molecules are approximately 80 nucleotides in length. Their secondary structure includes four short double-helical elements and three loops (D, anti-codon, and T loops).
Source: RNAcentral
GGAAAGGUGUGCCGAGUAGCGAAGGCAACGGACUGUAAAUCCGUGACAUAAGAAACAUCGUGGGUGCAACUCCUACCCUUUCCA